RNAcentral lists this ribosomal RNA (496 nucleotides) under Solirubrum puertoriconensis. Its description in RNAcentral is "bacterial SSU rRNA". It matches the Rfam family "Bacterial small subunit ribosomal RNA", at positions 1 to 503 of the family's 1533-position model. Lineage: Bacteria; Pseudomonadati; Bacteroidota; Cytophagia; Cytophagales. The record is from RNAcentral.
UUUACAAUGGAGAGUUUGAUCCUGGCUCAGGAUGAACGCUAGCGGCAGGCCUAAUACAUGCAAGUCGAACGGGCGCAGCAAUGCGUCAGUGGCGCACGGGUGCGUAACGCGUAGGCAAUCUGCCUACACCUGGGGGAUAGCCCGCCGAAAGGUGGAUUAAUACCGCAUGACACCGCGGGCCGGCAUCGGCUGGCGGUUAAAGAAUUUCGGGUGUAGAUGAGCCUGCGUGCCAUUAGCUAGUUGGCGGGGUAAGGGCCCACCAAGGCGACGAUGGCUAGGGGAGCUGAGAGGCCGAUCCCCCACACUGGCACUGAGAUGCGGGCCAGACUCCUACGGGAGGCAGCAGUAGGGAAUAUUGGGCAAUGGGAGCAAUCCUGACCCAGCCAUGCCGCGUGCCGGAUGAAGGCCUUCUGGGUUGUAAACGGCUUUUGACCGGGAAGAAAAAGCCCCUGCGGGGGAAACCGACGGUACCGGUUGAAUAAGCACCGGCUAACUC